UACGGAGGGGGCAAGCGUUGUUCGGAAUUACUGGGCGUAAAGGGCGCGCAGGCGGCUGCUCAAGUCAGGCGUGAAAGGCCUGGGCUCAACCCGGGAAUUGCGCUUGAGACUGGGCUGGCUUGAGUGCGGGAGAGGAUGGUGGAAUUCCCAGUGUAGAGGUGAAAUUCGUAGAUAUUCGGAAGAACACCAGUGGCGAAGGCGACUCACUGGCCCGUUACUGACGCUGAGGCGCGAAAGCGUGGGGAGCAAACAGG
RNAcentral lists this ribosomal RNA (254 nucleotides) under uncultured bacterium. Its description in RNAcentral is "partial 16S ribosomal RNA". It matches the Rfam family "Bacterial small subunit ribosomal RNA", at positions 524 to 776 of the family's 1533-position model. The record is from RNAcentral.